Marasmius oreades (fairy-ring Marasmius) is the source of this 91-nucleotide non-coding RNA. The record is from the annotation of a RefSeq genome assembly. Lineage: Eukaryota; Fungi; Basidiomycota; Agaricomycetes; Agaricales; Marasmiaceae.
ACACCGUUGGUGAAGUGGUUAUCAUGCUUGCCUUCCAUUACUGUACGCCUAUUGAAAGCAAGCGGCUCGGGUUCGAUUCCCGAACGGUGUA